UGGGGAGUACGGCCGCAAGGCUAAAACUCAAAGGAAUUGACGGGGGCCCGCACAAGCGGCGGAGCAUGCGGAUUAAUUCGAUGCAACGCGAAGAACCUUACCAAGGCUUGACAUACACCGGACCGGGCCAGAGAUGGUCUUUCCCCCUUGUGGGGCUGGUGUACAGGUGGUGCAUGGUUGUCGUCAGCUCGUGUCGUGAGAUGUUGGGUUAAGUCCCGCAACGAGCGCAACCCUCGUUCUAUGUUGCCAGCACGUGAUGGUGGGGACUCAUAGGAGACUGCCGGGGUCAACUCGGAGGAAGGUGGGGAUGACGUCAAAUCAUCAUGCCCCUUAUGUCUUGGGCUUCACGCAUGCUACAAUGGCCAGUACAAUGGGUUGCGAUGCCGCGAGGUGGAGCUAAUCCCAAAAAGCUGGUCUCAGUUCGGAUCGUGGUCUGCAACUCGACCACG
RNAcentral lists this ribosomal RNA (449 nucleotides) under Kocuria rhizophila. RNAcentral's name for it is "bacterial SSU rRNA". It matches the Rfam family "Bacterial small subunit ribosomal RNA", at positions 874 to 1320 of the family's 1533-position model. Lineage: Bacteria; Bacillati; Actinomycetota; Actinomycetes; Micrococcales; Micrococcaceae. The record is from RNAcentral.